CCUACGGGAGGCUGCAGUGGGGAAUAUUGCACAAUGGGCGCAAGCCUGAUGCAGCCAUGCCGCGUGUGUGAAGAAGGCCUUCGGGUUGUAAAGCACUUUCAGCGGGGAGGGAGGCGUUAAGGUUAAUAACCUUGUCGAUUGACGUUACCCGCAGAAGAAGCACCGGCUAACUCCGUGCCAGCAGCCGCGGUAAUACGGAGGGUGCAAGCGUUAAUCGGAAUUACUGGGCGUAAAGCGCACGCAGGCGGUCUGUCAAGUCGGAUGUGAAAUCCCCGGGCUCAACCUGGGAACUGCAUUCGAAACUGGCAGGCUAGAGUCUUGUAGAGGGGGGUAGAAUUCCAGGUGUAGCGGUGAAAUGCGUAGAGAUCUGGAGGAAUACCGGUGGCGAAGGCGGCCCCCUGGACAAAGACUGACGCUCAGGUGCGAAAGCGUGGGGAGCAAACAGGAUUAGAUACCCGUGUAGUC
Molecule: ribosomal RNA, 465 nt
Filed under: uncultured Klebsiella sp.
Lineage: Bacteria; Pseudomonadati; Pseudomonadota; Gammaproteobacteria; Enterobacterales; Enterobacteriaceae
Description: bacterial SSU rRNA
Rfam family: Bacterial small subunit ribosomal RNA
Source: RNAcentral